AUGGUGCAUGUACAAGAUUUCGGUUUCUUCCCCUUACAUCCCUUUUUCCGAUUUCUCUUGGCUACUUCUGGUAUUUUGGUUUGUUCUACCCUGUGUGCGACUGUUGUUUAUGGUUGUUCUAGCUUUUGGAAGGUUAACCAAUUACAUUUAGCAAGGCUUUUGGUCCUCACGAGGAGGCGAAAGAGAAGAAAAUGUUCUGUGAAAUUCUGCAGGAAAAAAAUACGUAGACACAAACAUUGCGUUAAAACCUUUAUGCUUCUGCAGGAAAAUAGGCCGUUGCAUCUGAAACUAAGAAAGCAGCUAGAGGGCAGAGGGGUGAUGGAAGACAAUGAACCUAGGUUUGAGCUGGAUUGA
This 354-nucleotide ribosomal RNA is filed under the name Triticum aestivum (bread wheat). Its description in RNAcentral is "partial small subunit ribosomal RNA". Lineage: Eukaryota; Viridiplantae; Streptophyta; Magnoliopsida; Poales; Poaceae. The record is from RNAcentral.